This 278-nucleotide ribosomal RNA is filed under the name uncultured bacterium. RNAcentral describes it as "partial 16S ribosomal RNA". It matches the Rfam family "Bacterial small subunit ribosomal RNA", at positions 506 to 784 of the family's 1533-position model. The record is from RNAcentral.
UGCCAGCCGCCGCGGUAACACGGGGGGCGCAAGCGUUAUCCGGAAUCACUGGGCGUAAAGGGAGCGUAGGCGGUUUUGCAAGUCAGAAGUGAAAGGCUACGGCUCAACCGUAGUAAGCUUUUGAAACUGCAAGACUAGAGUGCAGGAGAGGCAAGUGGAAUUCCGAGUGUAGGGGUGAAAUCCGUAGAUAUUCGGAGGAACACCAGUGGCGAAGGCGGCUUUCUGGACCGAUACUGACGCUGAGACGCGAAAGCGUGGGGAGCAAACAGGAUUAGAUA